UUAGAAACUGGAAUAACGUAUCGAAGUUUAAAAUAUAUCUCAGCUGAUGAUAUUCGUGAUGCUAUCCCCAAUAUUGGUUUUAGGGCUGAAUUUAGAGUGAAAUUAUUCACUUGGAAAAAGAAAGAGUUUAAUUUUGACGACGAAACAUUGUCCGCUAAUUCAAAAGUUGUAUCUUGGAUUGAAAAAAGUUCUCCUUCGAACUCGUUUUCAGCUGGUUUAAUGAUUGGAAUGUAGUCGUUGAAAAAUGGUCACAAACAUUUGAUUUGCGUCGUAAGAACUUACAGAAUUGGGACACUACAGAAUUUCUAAAACAAUGGCCAAAAAAUGCAGAAAGCUAAGCUCCAGAUUUGGUGAGAGUUUUACUUAUAAAAAACAAGAAACAAAGAAGCUAAGUCUUAUAUGAACUCAAUAACCUGUAGAAUUAAUCCAGCACGAUCAUUGUCAAUCAAAUCUUCUCCAAAGUAUUCGAACUUCUUAAUGUUAAAUGAAAAUGGUAUACCUCCAAUAUGUGAUAAAUACGAUUUUAAAAGUGUUGCUGUAAGCACCAUCGAAUGUUUGAACACUGUAGAUCAUAAAAUUAAAAAUGACAAAAUUGAUAUAAGUGAGAAAAUUGAAUAUAAAGGGACUAUAUACAAGAAAGAUUAUUUUUUAGCAUGUAAAAUG
This is a long non-coding RNA of Drosophila obscura, 663 nucleotides long. RefSeq lists it as uncharacterized. The record is from RefSeq and is a predicted model, not a curated record. The transcript is spliced from 3 exons. Lineage: Eukaryota; Metazoa; Arthropoda; Insecta; Diptera; Drosophilidae.